UAACGUUCCUCCUCCUCACCCUACCGUACGCUGCAAGACCUCUAGGGAAAUGUAGUUCUUCAGGGGGCGGGGCGCGGUGGCUUACCUUUACAGAGUCCCCACGCCUCUGGACAGCAUCCGCCUGCUCCCUCCCUGGAGAGGCCCAAAGCUCUCAAAGCCUCACUCCUUGCCCUAUACCACCAAGCCAUUUUCCUCUAGUGCAACGUGAACCACAGCAACAUCUUGAUACACACUAAGGAGGGAGUCGAAGUCCCUUUGGCCAAACUAAAAUCUGAGCUCCAAUUUCACACGAAAAUCAAUGGCUUUGGCAGCAGAGUGAGCAUCCCUACACUCUGGUUCAGGAGUCCAGCCAGUCCGCUUCAUUCCUGGGAUCCAACUUUACUGGGGAAGCCAGGCCCCACUCUGCACACAGCUGCCUCCUGAUCAUCCCACCUCCUUCCUGGCAUCACCACCUCGGGGGGCCAUCCUAGCUCCCCCAAACUAAAGGAGUGACUGGUCCUCCUGCACACCCGGAAUGGUCUUGUUCAUGUGGAGAUUGAAACCUGCCAGAAGUGUAUUUGGAGCACCACAGCGUAUCAGCAUCAUAGAAGACUUUUCCAGUGUAACUCUGAAGAAGCCAAAUCAAGCUAGUGGAAGAAAGAAAAGGGAAUUUUUUUUAUUUCAUGCAACCAAGUGGUCCAGGCAUGGAGCUGGCAUUAGGGAUCGAAGCUGACCUCUGUCCAAGCGCUCAGCGGCAUUCUGCUUUCUCUCUCUGCUGUUUUUUGCUUUUUGUUCUGUUUUAUUUUAUUUUUCUUUGUUUUGUUUCAUUUUGUUUUUCAACCCCUUCUCUUAGUGGAUGGACACAACAGUUCAAAGCCUCAAGCAAAAACCUCAGACUGAGUCUCAGUCUUGGGCCCUUGCCAUUCACUGUGGCUGGUGGAUAGAGGAAAACCAAGCCACUGAGAGACUGAAGGAUAAGAAGUGCCCCCGCAAAAUUCAUGAGCCAUCACGACAACUACAGGGAAUGUCCAUGGAGAAAGCAAAAACAUCUCACAAAAGCCACAACAGUAUUAGAAUAAAAUGAUGGAUGAGGACCCAGCUCCUCAUGAACGGCUUCAAUGCUGCCCUCCCACUCUACUCUAUACCAAGAAAAUUAAUUUACUGGCAUCCAUUAACUGCUUGCAAUUUGGUGAGAUGUGGAAUCUUUUUGUGUGAGGAAUGGUUUAAAUUUUAUGCUCUUGCUGGACAUCUAAAACCAGCCACAGAGGAGUAGCAAACGUGAGAUCAUCAUGUCCGAUACUUCCUCUUUCACACAAAUAGAUCAUCACUUCACUCAAGUAGGCCAGCACUUUUGUAUUAGACAAUCCCCUGAUAAAAAGGGGUUUCCCUCAGUCCCCAACCUUCCAGAAUUAUUGCUGAGUCAGGACCUGUGGGAAGCAUAUGUGCUGGAGUGUUCACACACCCACAGAAAACUCCCAGACUAGAGCAUCGGGUGGUCUCUACUUACCCCAAGGGCCAAACAAGUCUUUACACACUCCCAUGAUAGUGUGUAAGGAACACUUGUGUUUUCUGCAAGGUUUCUUGGUUACUCAUUUUCCAAAAAAAGAAUCUACACUUCUGAGGAAGCAAAGAGCAUGUGUGGGUUUUUCCGUUUCCAGUUUUGCACAAAGUACAACAUCAGUUACCAGUUUAAAAAAGAAAAAUUCUAGUGUUCUUUCAC
Long non-coding RNA from Neogale vison (American mink), 1699 nucleotides. RefSeq lists it as uncharacterized. Lineage: Eukaryota; Metazoa; Chordata; Mammalia; Carnivora; Mustelidae. The transcript has 4 exons. The record is from RefSeq and is a predicted model, not a curated record.